RNAcentral lists this transfer RNA (74 nucleotides) under Acidimicrobiaceae bacterium. Its description in RNAcentral is "tRNA-Val". It matches the Rfam family "tRNA". Rfam says of the family: Transfer RNA (tRNA) molecules are approximately 80 nucleotides in length. Their secondary structure includes four short double-helical elements and three loops (D, anti-codon, and T loops). Further hydrogen bonds mediate the characteristic L-shaped molecular structure. tRNAs have two regions of fundamental functional importance: the anti-codon, which is responsible for specific mRNA codon recognition, and the 3' end, to which the tRNAs corresponding amino acid is attached (by aminoacyl-tRNA synthetases). tRNAs cope with the degeneracy of the genetic code in two manners: having more than one tRNA (with a specific anti-codon) for a particular amino acid; and 'wobble' base-pairing, i.e. permitting non-standard base-pairing at the 3rd anti-codon position. The record is from RNAcentral. Lineage: Bacteria; Bacillati; Actinomycetota; Acidimicrobiia; Acidimicrobiales; Acidimicrobiaceae.
GGGCGCGUAGCUCAGUCGGCUAGAGCGCUUCCCUUACAAGGAAGAAGUCGGGGGUUCAAGUCCCUCCGCGCCCA